GUGCUUAAGGCUAAGCCAUUUGCUUAUGCUUCAAAGAAACAUUUUAAAGAAUGUGACAAGCCCAAGCCUUCACCAACUCCAUACUACUACAAAUCACCUCCACCUCCCUCACCUGUUUACAAGUACAACUCUCCACCUCCACCAGUCCAUUAUUAUUCACCACCAUAUUACUACAAAUCACCUCCUCCUCCAGUAAAAUCGCCACCAACACCUUACUACUACAAAUCACCUCCACCUCCCUCACCAGUUUACAAGUACAACUCACCACCUCCACCGGUCCAUUAUUACUCUCCUCCAUAUUCCUAUAAGUCGCCUCCACCUCCCUCACCAGUUUACAAAUACAACUCCCCACCUCCACCAGUCCACCAUUAUGAUCCUCCAUAUUACUACAAGUCACCUCCACCUCCCUCACCAGUUUACAAGUACAACUCCCCACCUCCACCAGUCCAUUAUUAUUCACCUCCAUAUUACUACAAAUCCCCACCUCCUCCUGUGAAAUCCCCACCACCCCCUUACUACUAUAAAUCACCUCCACCUCCCUCACCAGUUUACAAAUACAACUCACCACCUCCACCGGUUUACAAGUACAACUCACCACCUCCACCAGUCCACCAUUAUGAUCCUCCAUAUAACUACAAGUCACCUCCACCUCCUUCACCUGUUUACAAGUACAACUCCCCACCUCCACCAGUCCAUUAUUAUUCACCUCCAUAUUACUACAAAUCACNNN
Molecule: long non-coding RNA, 730 nt
Filed under: Trifolium pratense (red clover)
Lineage: Eukaryota; Viridiplantae; Streptophyta; Magnoliopsida; Fabales; Fabaceae
Description: long non-coding RNA (TPRA_LNC003870)
Source: RNAcentral